This 497-nucleotide ribosomal RNA is filed under the name uncultured bacterium. RNAcentral describes it as "partial 16S ribosomal RNA". It matches the Rfam family "Bacterial small subunit ribosomal RNA", at positions 28 to 507 of the family's 1533-position model. The record is from RNAcentral.
GAUGAACGCUGGCGGCGUGCCUAAUACAUGCAAGUCGAGCGAACAGAUGAGGAGCUUGCUCCUCUGACGUUAGCGGCGGACGGGUGAGUAACACGUGUAUAACCUACCUAUCAGACUGGGAUAACUUCGGGAAACCGGAGCUAAUACCGGAUAAUAUAUUGAACCGCAUGGUUCAAUAGUGAAAGACGGUUUUGCUGUCUCUUAUAGAUGGAUCCCCGCCGCAUUAGCUAGUUGGUAAGGUCACGGCUUACCAAGGCAACGAUGCGUAGCCGACCUGUGAGAGGGAUCGGCCACACUGGAACGUAGACACGGUCCAGACUCCUACGGGAGGCAGCAGUAGGGAAUGUUACGCAAUGGGCGAAAGCCUGACGGAGCAACGCCGCGUGAGUGAUGAAGGUCUUCGGAUCGUAAAACUCUGUUAUGAGGGAAGAACAAAUGUGUAAGUAACUAUGCACGUCUUGACGGUACCUAAUCAGAAAGCCACGGCUAACUACGUG